UACGUAGGGGGCAAGCGUUGUCCGGAAUUAUUGGGCGUAAAGCGCGUGUAGGCGGCCAGAUAAGUCCGCUGUGAAAGUCGGGGGCUCAACCCUCGAAUGCCGGUGGAUACUGUCGGGCUAGAGUGCGGAAGAGGCGAGUGGAAUUCCUGGUGUAGCGGUGAAAUGCGCAGAUAUCAGGAGGAACACCAAUUGCGAAGGCAGCUCGCUGGGACGUUACUGACGCUGAGACGCGAAAGCGUGGGGAGCAAACAGG
This 253-nucleotide ribosomal RNA is filed under the name uncultured bacterium. RNAcentral's name for it is "partial 16S ribosomal RNA". It matches the Rfam family "Bacterial small subunit ribosomal RNA", at positions 524 to 776 of the family's 1533-position model. The record is from RNAcentral.